Molecule: ribosomal RNA, 416 nt
Filed under: uncultured bacterium
Lineage: Bacteria
Description: partial 16S ribosomal RNA
Rfam family: Bacterial small subunit ribosomal RNA
Source: RNAcentral
UGGGGAAUUUUGGACAAUGGGCGAAAGCCUGAUCCAGCAAUGCCGCGUGUGUGAAGAAGGCCUUCGGGUUGUAAAGCACUUUUGUCCGGAAAGUAAAUCCUUGGGCUCUAAUACAGUCGGGGGAUGACGGUACCGGAAGAAUAAGCACCGGCUAACUACGUGCCAGCAGCCGCGGUAAUACGUAGGGUGCAAGCGUUAAUCGGAAUUACUGGGCGUAAAGCGUGCGCAGGCGGUUUGCUAAGACCGAUGUGAAAUCCCCGGGCUAACCUGGGAACUGCAUUGGUGACUGGCAGGCUAGAGUAUGGCAGAGGGGGGUAGAAUUCCACGUGUAGCAGUGAAAUGCGUAGAGAUGUGGAGGAAUACCGAUGGCGAAGGCAGCCCCCUGGGCCAAUACUGACGCUCAUGCACGAAAGCGU